GUCGUGAGACAGUUUGGUCCCUAUCUGCCGUGGGCGUUGGAUAUUUGAAGGGGGCUGCUCCUAGUACGAGAGGACCGGAGUGGACGAACCUCUGGUGUACCGGUUGUCACGCCAGUGGCAUCGCCGGGUAGCUAUGUUCGGAAGAGAUAACCGCUGAAAGCAUCUAAGCGGGAAACUCGCCUUAAGAUGAGAUAUCCCUGGGGACUAGAUCCCCUUGAAGGGUCGUUCGAGACCAGGACGUUGAUAGGUCGGGUGUGUAAGCGCAGUAAUGCGUUCAGCUAACCGAUACUAAUUGCCCGUAAGGCUUGAUCCUAUAACA
Molecule: ribosomal RNA, 319 nt
Filed under: Burkholderia cenocepacia
Lineage: Bacteria; Pseudomonadati; Pseudomonadota; Betaproteobacteria; Burkholderiales; Burkholderiaceae
Description: bacterial LSU rRNA
Rfam family: Bacterial large subunit ribosomal RNA
Source: RNAcentral